CUACGGGGCGCACCAGUCGAGAAUCUUCCGCAAUGCGCGAAAGCGUGACGGAGCAAUGCCGCGUGGUGGAUGAAGGCCUUCGGGUUGUAAACACCUGUCACAUGGGACGAACUUUGACGGUACCAUGAGAGGAAGCCACGGCUAACUACGUGCCAGCAGCCGCGGUAAUACGUAGGUGGCGAGCGUUGUUCGGAUUUAUUGGGCGUAAAGGGUCCGCAGGGGGUUUGUUAAGUCUGAUGUGAAAUCCCGGGGCUCAACCCCGGAACUGCAUUGGAGACUGAUGAACUAGAGUAUCGGAGAGGUAAAUGGAAUUCCUGGUGUAGCGGUGGAAUGCGUAGAUAUCAGGAAGAACACCGAGAGCGAAGGCAAUUUACUGGACGAUUACUGACCCUCAGGGACGAAAGCGUGGGUAGCGAACAGGAUUAGAUACCCCCGUAGUC
This 440-nucleotide ribosomal RNA is filed under the name uncultured bacterium. RNAcentral describes it as "partial 16S ribosomal RNA". It matches the Rfam family "Bacterial small subunit ribosomal RNA", at positions 339 to 795 of the family's 1533-position model. The record is from RNAcentral.